GCACUGGAAGUGAGAAUUGGAGGAAAGCAAACUGGAAAUCCGUCUCAAAGUUCUCAUGUUGUUCAGUUUGUUUUUCUCCAAUAUCUCACUUUCGGUCG
Molecule: non-coding RNA, 98 nt
Organism: Triticum aestivum (bread wheat)
Lineage: Eukaryota; Viridiplantae; Streptophyta; Magnoliopsida; Poales; Poaceae
Source: Rfam